Molecule: unclassified non-coding RNA, 385 nt
Filed under: Hevea brasiliensis (rubber tree)
Lineage: Eukaryota; Viridiplantae; Streptophyta; Magnoliopsida; Malpighiales; Euphorbiaceae
Source: RNAcentral
AUCAAAGGGCUGCAACCCUUGAAAGAAAGGUUUAUGCUCUUACAAAGGAAAGGGAUACACUCCGGAGAGAGCAGAAUAAGAAAAGUGAUGCAGCUGUUCUUUUGAAGGAAAAAGAUGAAAUUAUCAGUCAGGUUAUGGCUGAAGGUGAAGAGCUUUCAAAGAAGCAGGCUGCUCAAGAAUCUACAAUUAGGAAAUUAAGAGCUCAGAUUAGAGAGCUUGAAGAGGAGAAGAAAAGCUUGAUGACCAAACUUCAGGUGGAAGAGAAUAAAGUAGAGAGUAUCAAGAAGGACAAGACAGCUACUGAAAAGUUGCUGCAAGAGACAAUAGAAAAACACCAAGCAGAACUUGCAGGACAGAAAGAGUAUUAUACAAAUGCUUUGACUGC